RNAcentral lists this ribosomal RNA (419 nucleotides) under uncultured bacterium. Its description in RNAcentral is "bacterial SSU rRNA". It matches the Rfam family "Bacterial small subunit ribosomal RNA", at positions 356 to 774 of the family's 1533-position model. The record is from RNAcentral.
AAGGAAUAUUGCUCAAUGGGAGAAAUCCUGAAGCAGCAACGCCGCGUGGAGGAUGAAGGGUCUAUGACUUGUAAACUCCUGUAAAGAAGGAAAACAUUCCCAUUAGAUGGGAGAUGAUGGUACUUCUGGAGUAAGCCCCGGCUAACUACGUGCCAGCAGCCGCGGUACUACGUAGGGGGCAAGCGUUGUCCGGAUUUACUGGGUGUAAAGGGCGCUCAGGCGGAUUUGUAAGUCAGAGGUGAAAUCUUACAGCUUAACUGUGAAACUGCCUUUGAUAAUGCAAGCCUAGAGUAUGGAAGAGAGUGAUGGAAUAUCUGGUGUAGCAGUGAAAUGCGUAGAUAUCAGAUAGAACACCAAUGGCGAAGGCAGUCACUUGGUCCAUUACUGACGCUAAAGCACGAAAGCGUGGGUAGCAAACA